AUUGGCUUUUGGAGUUUCUAACUCCCACCCAUGUGACUUACCUUUUGUUGCCUCGGCAGAAGUUAUAGGUCUUCUUAUAGCUGCUGCCGGUGGACCAUUAAACUCUUGUUAUUUUAUGUAAUCUGAGCGUCUUAUUUUAAUAAGUCAAAACUUUCAACAACGGAUCUCUUGGUUCUGGCAUCGAUGAAGAACGCAGCGAAAUGCGAUAAGUAAUGUGAAUUGCAGAAUUCAGUGAAUCAUCGAAUCUUUGAACGCACAUUGCGCCCAUUAGUAUUCUAGUGGGCAUGCCUGUUCGAGCGUCAUUUCAACCCUUAAGCCUAGCUUAGUGUUGGGAAUCUACUUCUCUUAGGAGUUGUAGUUCCUGAAAUACAACGGCGGAUUUGUAGUAUCCUCUGAGCGUAGUAAUUUUUUUCUCGCUUUUGUUAGGUGCUAUAACUCCCAGCCGCUAAACCCCCAAUUUUUUGUGGUUGACCUCGGAUCAGGUAGGAAUACCCGCUGAACUUAAGCAUAUCAAUAAGCGGAGGAA
This 526-nucleotide ribosomal RNA is filed under the name Pestalotiopsis microspora. Its description in RNAcentral is "eukaryotic LSU rRNA". The stretch from base 149 to 302 matches the Rfam family "5.8S ribosomal RNA". The record is from RNAcentral. Lineage: Eukaryota; Fungi; Ascomycota; Sordariomycetes; Amphisphaeriales; Sporocadaceae.